GAUGAACGCUGGCGGCGUGCCUAAUACAUGCAAGUCGAGCGAACAGAUGCUGAGCUUGCUCCUCUGACGUUAGCGGCGGACGGGUGAGUAACACGUGUAUCACCUCCCUAUAAGACUGGUAUCAUUUCGGAACUCCGGCUCUAACCCCGUAUAAUCUAUUGCUCCGCAUGGUUCAUUGGUAAAUUUCGGCUUUUCUGUCUCUACUCGCUGCUUCCGGGCCGCAUUAGAUGGUUGUUACGGUAACGGCUUACCACGGCAAGGAUGCGUAGCCGACCUGAGAGGGUGAUAGGCCACACUGGAGCUGGGACACGGACAAGACGCCUAAGGGAGGCAGCAGUAGGGAAUGGGACGCAAUGGGCGAAAGCAUGACGGAGCAAGGCCGAGUGAGUGAUGAAGGUGUUCGGAGCGUGAAAAUCUGUUAUUAGGGAAGAACAAAUGUGUAAGUAACUAUGCACGUCUUGACGGUACCGAAUCAGAAAGCAACGGCUAACUACGUG
RNAcentral lists this ribosomal RNA (497 nucleotides) under uncultured bacterium. Its description in RNAcentral is "partial 16S ribosomal RNA". It matches the Rfam family "Bacterial small subunit ribosomal RNA", at positions 28 to 507 of the family's 1533-position model. The record is from RNAcentral.